This 432-nucleotide long non-coding RNA is filed under the name Androctonus crassicauda. The record is from RNAcentral. Lineage: Eukaryota; Metazoa; Arthropoda; Arachnida; Scorpiones; Buthidae.
AGAAUAACACCUUUAUAAGAUAAAUAAUUUAUUAUAUUAAACAAAGUAAAAAAUUAUUAAAUACAAAAAUAAGAUGGACUAUAUGAAGACUUUACUGCGACCAUAACUUGAUGACUGUGACUAAAAGUUGGUUCUCACUAGCACAGAAUUAUGGCAGAGAAUAUAUGCAAGACAAAAGUAGCACAGCUUUGAUGUCCUACUACAGCGUAAAAACUGCUACCGUCCAGUGUUUAGAUGAAUUCAACUUUUCUGCAGCAGUAAAAUCCGUUGAGAUAACAUUCAUAAAUGAAAUCCAUGCAUUUUGUGACAUUGAAUUGUUGGCAACCUUGACUAAGUAAAGAUAGUGAGAUUCUCUAUCAUUAAAUAUCACCUCUCUAAUCAAAAUUGCAUAGAAACAUUGUUCAUAUUUCUUCUUAUAAAUUUUUUCCAUCC